Molecule: transfer RNA, 72 nt
Organism: Ovis aries (sheep)
Lineage: Eukaryota; Metazoa; Chordata; Mammalia; Artiodactyla; Bovidae
Rfam family: tRNA
About the family: Transfer RNA (tRNA) molecules are approximately 80 nucleotides in length. Their secondary structure includes four short double-helical elements and three loops (D, anti-codon, and T loops). Further hydrogen bonds mediate the characteristic L-shaped molecular structure. tRNAs have two regions of fundamental functional importance: the anti-codon, which is responsible for specific mRNA codon recognition, and the 3' end, to which the tRNAs corresponding amino acid is attached (by aminoacyl-tRNA synthetases). tRNAs cope with the degeneracy of the genetic code in two manners: having more than one tRNA (with a specific anti-codon) for a particular amino acid; and 'wobble' base-pairing, i.e. permitting non-standard base-pairing at the 3rd anti-codon position.
Source: Rfam
UCCCUGGUGGCUCAGACGGUAAAGCAUCUGCCUGCAAUGCGGGAGACCUGGGUUCGAUUCCUGGGUCGGGAA